UACGGAGGAUCCGAGCGUUAUCCGGAUUUAUUGGGUUUAAAGGGUGCGCAGGCGGGAGAUUAAGUCGGCGGUGAAAUUUUGCAGCUCAACUGUAAAAGUGCCUUCGAAACUGGUUUCCUUGAGUGUAGAUGAAGUAGGCGGAAUUUGUGGUGUAGCGGUGAAAUGCAUAGAUAUCACGAGGAACUCCGAUUGCGCAGGCAGCUUACUAAACUACUACUGACGCUCAUGCACGAAGGCGUGGGGAUCAAACAGGAUUAGAUACCUCCGUA
Molecule: ribosomal RNA, 269 nt
Filed under: uncultured prokaryote
Description: partial 16S ribosomal RNA
Rfam family: Bacterial small subunit ribosomal RNA
Source: RNAcentral